RNAcentral lists this ribosomal RNA (642 nucleotides) under uncultured Anaplasma sp. Its description in RNAcentral is "bacterial SSU rRNA". It matches the Rfam family "Bacterial small subunit ribosomal RNA", at positions 815 to 1456 of the family's 1533-position model. The record is from RNAcentral. Lineage: Bacteria; Pseudomonadati; Pseudomonadota; Alphaproteobacteria; Rickettsiales; Anaplasmataceae.
GCUGAAUGUGGGGAUAAUUUAUCUCCGUGUUGAAGCUAACGCGUUAGCACUCCGCCUGGGGACUACGGUCGCAAGACUAAAACUCAAAGGAAUUGACGGGGACCCGCACAAGCGGUGGAGCAUGUGGUUUAAUUCGAUGCAACGCGAAAAACCUUACCACUCCUUGACAUGGAGAUUAGAUCCUUCUUAACGGAAGGGCGCAGUUCGGCUGGGUCUCGCACAGGUGCUGCAUGGCUGUCGUCAGCUCGUGUCGUGAGAUGUUGGGUUAAGUCCCGCAACGAGCGUAACCCUCAUCCUUAGUUGCCAGCGGAUAAUGCCGGGUACUUUAAGGAAACUGCCGGUGGUAAACCGGAGGAAGGUGGGGAUGAUGUCAAGUCAGCACGGCCCUUAUGGGGUGGGCUACACACGUGCUACAAUGGUGACUACAAUAGGUUGCAACGCCGCAAGGCUGAGCUAAUCCAUAAAAGUCAUCUCAGUUCGGAUUGUCCUCUGUAACUCGAGGGCAUGAAGUCGGAAUCGCUAGUAAUCGUGGAUCAGCAUGCCACGGUGAAUACGUUCUCGGGUCUUGUACACACUGCCCGUCACGCCAUGGGAAUUGGCUUAACUCGAAGCUGGUGCGCUAACCGAAAGAAAGCAAGCCAU